ACAGGUCGCACCAUAUAAUUCCAGCUGAUCUGGAAUCCGUAAACACAAAUAACAAACGACAAAAAAAAGAUAUAGACUUGUAGUCGCCCCGGACGCCCCUUCCUUCCAGAGAUCCGGAACCUCAUCCUCGGCGGAUCUCCCCUUGGCAGGCGGACUUCGCCUGCUAUACACCAAUCAAGCGACGACGAAAAAAGAAGAACGGCGAACAACUGUGAGGACAACGAUUAUUUCGAACGGGGAUAAGAGUACAUAAAUUGUAAAUAAUUAUACUAACGGACCGUCAUUUCCUUCAGCACAACAUCCUACCUACUUGGAGCUCCAAUCAGGGGAAGGGGCUGAGACGAGACGUUCGAUUUUUAAACCAACAGGUUAUAACCCUACAAACACAACCGGCCUUUGCAGCGCAGCCACAUACGUAUAUCCUUUUUUUGUUUAGAUUUAAAUUAGGUUAUUUCUCUGUAAUUGCUUGGGCUCAUGAAUGUAAAUUUCUACAUCAUUGUGAA
Molecule: non-coding RNA, 503 nt
Organism: Drosophila kikkawai
Lineage: Eukaryota; Metazoa; Arthropoda; Insecta; Diptera; Drosophilidae
Source: RefSeq, a predicted model, not a curated record